CUUUUUCUUAAGUCUGUUUGCAUGAUUCUAGUUAUUGAAUCGGUAGAAAAGAUGAACAUGUAGCUAGCAGACCAGGGUUUAUUUUCUUGUGUAAGAAUAUUAGAUGCUUGUUGAAAUUUCCAAUUUUGAAUUAUGCACAAAGAUGGACCUUUAACAGGUUGGGAACAACACUCCAAAUGAGGGGUAACCCUCAUUGGAAGAACAUUACAACCCACUGUAAAAAAUGAGCACCUUUAUAUUCAUAUUAUUUGAUGAAACUUUUCCCCAAGAACUAUGCAUCUAUCAAGUAUUAAAUGGUCAAAACAUGUCAAAAGAAUUUUGUGAUGUUUCUCAACUUAUAUCUUCUUUAUUAAUUUGACC
Molecule: long non-coding RNA, 360 nt
Filed under: Mytilus galloprovincialis (Mediterranean mussel)
Lineage: Eukaryota; Metazoa; Mollusca; Bivalvia; Mytilida; Mytilidae
Source: RNAcentral